RNAcentral lists this ribosomal RNA (639 nucleotides) under Amycolatopsis sp. RNAcentral describes it as "bacterial SSU rRNA". It matches the Rfam family "Bacterial small subunit ribosomal RNA", at positions 352 to 1002 of the family's 1533-position model. Lineage: Bacteria; Bacillati; Actinomycetota; Actinomycetes; Pseudonocardiales; Pseudonocardiaceae. The record is from RNAcentral.
CAGUGGGGAAUAUUGCACAAUGGGCGCAAGCCUGAUGCAGCGACGCCGCGUGAGGGAUGACGGCCUUCGGGUUGUAAACCUCUUUCGCCAGGGACGAAGCGCAAGUGACGGUACCUGGAUAAGAAGCACCGGCUAACUACGUGCCAGCAGCCGCGGUAAUACGUAGGGUGCGAGCGUUGUCCGGAUUUAUUGGGCGUAAAGAGCUCGUAGGCGGUUUGUCGCGUCGGCCGUGAAAUCUCCACGCUUAACGUGGAGCGUGCGGUCGAUACGGGCAGACUUGAGUUCGGUAGGGGAGACUGGAAUUCCUGGUGUAGCGGUGAAAUGCGCAGAUAUCAGGAGGAACACCGGUGGCGAAGGCGGGUCUCUGGGCCGAUACUGACGCUGAGGAGCGAAAGCGUGGGGAGCGAACAGGAUUAGAUACCCUGGUAGUCCACGCUGUAAACGUUGGGCGCUAGGUGUGGGCGACAUCCACGUUGUCCGUGCCGUAGCUAACGCAUUAAGCGCCCCGCCUGGGGAGUACGGCCGCAAGGCUAAAACUCAAAGGAAUUGACGGGGGCCCGCACAAGCGGCGGAGCAUGUGGAUUAAUUCGAUGCAACGCGAAGAACCUUACCUGGGCUUGACAUGCGCCAGACAUCCCC